Symphalangus syndactylus (siamang) is the source of this 2615-nucleotide long non-coding RNA. RefSeq lists it as uncharacterized. Lineage: Eukaryota; Metazoa; Chordata; Mammalia; Primates; Hylobatidae. The record is from RefSeq and is a predicted model, not a curated record.
UUUCUUAGCAACCAAACUCCUGUCUUCUGGGCUGUGCAUGAUUAACUAAAACAGCCUGUUGACGGCUUAAAAUAAACCUGCCUUUUCCAUUUAGCAUUUUAUCAAAUGAAUAUAAUUUCAUUUGCUGAUGAAUUUAGUUCAGCUUCAAGAGAAUUUUUCUUUUCUUCAUGGGGAGGCUGAAGAAUCAGAACUGUCAUACCAAAGAAUGAAAAGCAAGCCUAGAGAGAACAAGACAGUCUGAUGUUGACAUGGAGUUUUGCUCUCGUUGCCUAGGCUGGAGUGCAAUGGCAGCGAUCUCAGCCACUACAACCUCCACCUCCCGGGUUCAAGCAAUUCUCCUGCCUCAGCCUCCCGAGUAGCUGGGAUUACACGCGCCCAUCACCACGUCCGGCUAAUUUUUUCUAUUUUUAGUAGAGACGGGGUUUCACCAUGUUAGCCACGCUAGUUGCUAACUCCUGACCUCAGGUGAUCCACCUACCUUGGCCUCCCAAAAUGCUGGGAUUACAGGCGUGAGCCACCGCGCCUGGCAAGAACUGACAUUUCAACCAAGUUCCCAGAGGGCAUGGCUGCAGCUCUGGAGGUCACACUUUGAGAACUAUUGCCUAACAUAUAAAACCACAGUCGGGGCUCCUGAUUUGUAUCUAUUACCCUCCAUGGAAAUGGCUGGUGAAGCAAAACUAUGUGUGUAAAACUGCAUCUGCCACAGGCUGCUUGUCCACAAAAGCAGUAAAGCAUCUCUAUGGAAUACCUCCAUAUGGAUCUGUAAAGAAGAGUCCCACUUCAAUCAAAGACAGCAGAUUAUGAGUUGGUAUGUAUUUCUACUAUUCCUUGCAUUUGGCAUGAAAUCUUACACCCAGUCACUGAGACACAAAGAGUGCAGGAGAACAAGGAGAGGAAUUACAAUGUACCCAACCUUCUGCGGGCUAUGACAGAGAGCAACUGUCCUUGCAAACAAAGAAAUGUCUUCUGAACUCAACGUAAUAUUCUAACAGAAUUGUAGAUUAAAGAAGACUGAAGAGAUAUGAACACUAAAUGCAAUUCAUGAUCUUAUACCAGAGGGAAGAAAAUUCUAUCAAGAACAAUAUUGUAUCAACUGACAAAAUCAUAAUAUGAAUGAUAGAUUAGAUAAAUGUUUUGUGUCAAAGUUAAAUUUCCUGAAGUUGAAAACUACAUUAGAAUACAGUCUAAGAGAACGGCCUAGUUUGGGGAAAUAUACAUACAAGUAUUUAAAGGUAUGGGCAUGACACAACUCACUCACAAAUAGCUCUUUAGCUAUUCUUGCCACUUUAACUUUGAAACUACUUCCAAAUGAAAAAAUUAAAAAUUUUAAAAUAUGUAAGAACACUACAAGUAUAGUAACUUUAGUAAAUGGCAUCUGAAUUCUACUUCAUCAGAAUUUUCUGAAUGCAACUUGUCCUUAUUCCCUAACCCUAAAUAGCAAAUGACUUAGAGUGUUCAAUUUUUUUCUUUCCUUAAUAACAUUAUUCAAAUGUGUACGGCUCCUGAUAAGCCAUCCCCUACCACUGUAGAAUUUAACUAAAAUGAGAGCUAAUUCCAAGGCUAUAUACUCUUAUACUCUUUCCACUAUACCAGGUUUCUAUUCCUUCUGUUGAAUGUAUACUAAAAAGACCUAAAUUUUAGUCCUUUUAAAGUUAACAAUUACUUUGUUAUUCCUCACUUUGUGGUUUCAAAAAGACAAAUCAACAUGAUCUAGUCUCAAUGACAGUACAAAUACAGAAACACACUUGGCGGAUACAACUAACUUGUCUGAAUUAUCAAACAAAAAUAAAUAAACAUACAAAAAACUACCUUUCUUUGUUCUACCUAACCAAUUCACAGUUAAGCUGGAAGAUAUUAGAAGACGCUCACUCUUUCUCAAGGGAUGCUGACUUGUCACAUGCUUAAACAAACUCUUUUUCUUACCAUCCUCCAGCUUUUCAACCUCCUGUUUUACGACAUGGAGUUCUUCAUCUUUAACAAAUUUUUCUUCUCUUUCCAUAAUUGGGUUUAGAAUCCCUGCUUCUCCAUGCCUGUCUUGCUUUUGAGAUUCUAAGUCCUAUUAUACGUUAAAAAAAAUGCAAGUUCACAAAUUAUAGAAAAGGGGGGGAACUAAACAACACAGAUUUAUCCAUUAAACAUGAUUACCAACUAAGUUAAAAAUUAAUGCAAAUUUUCAAUUAAUCAAUCAGUAAAUCACAAGUUAUCACUCCUUGAAAAAUUCUUCAAAACCACACAGGAUUAUUUCUGUUAAAAUUGUAAAGAAGCAUUUAUACGACGUAUUAGAACCAGUAUAACUGAAGUAAAGCCAAAACGGUACAUAAAAUUCUGAAGAGACAAGUUUCAGAAGUAUCCUUGCUUUGUGCAUUUUCACCAAAAAUCUGAUUAAUUCAGUCAACCAGAAAUGGCUAUUCGCCAACUAUGUGCAUCAAGUGAGAUGCUGUUGAACUAUAACAUGAGCAGUGACAAUACUAUGUCCAAGCCUCCAAUUAAUAUAAUUUAUAAUAUUCAAAUCAAAUAAAAAUGUUACAAACUUAAAAUUCCUUGUUUCCUAUGGUAAUUUUCAAAUAUAUGGGUGUGUGAUUUUUCUUAAUAAAAGUGAAAUAUCUAUUAUUAGU